CGCGCCAGCUCCAGUCCGCGCGAGCUAUAUAUGCGCUCCGCGCUCAGCUGUGCAGCUCCACCGCCGUAUCGUGUGACUGAGACUGAGAGCAGCACCCAGGUCGACGCCGUCCUCGCCUAGCCGGCAGCUUCUUACAGCGACGCGGUGGGUGGUGAGAGCGAUGGACCCGUACAAGUACCUCAACAUCCGCUUCAACCCGGACGGCUCGCUCACCCGCAACGGCCAGGCCAAGCUCCUCCCGGCGGCGCCCUCGGGGGAGCCCGUCGCGGUCACCACCGCCGACGGCGGCCCCGCGCGCCGCAUUGUCCACUCCAACGACGUCCCGCUCGACGACGCCAAGGGUACGAGCGUGCGCCUCUUCGUGCCGGGCAUGGCCGCGGCGCCCCGCAGCGGCAGGCUGCCGCUGAUCGUCUACUUCCACGGGGGCGGGUACGUGCUCUUCCGUGCGGCCUCCGAGCCGUUCCACAACAACGCCGCGGUACUGGCCGCCACCGUGCCCGCCGCCGUCGCCUCCGUUGACUACCGCCUCGCGCCCGAGCACCGCCUGCCCGCCGCCUUCGACGACGCCGCCGACGCGGUCAGGUGGGUGCGUUCGUACGCUGCCGAGUCGCCGGGAAGGCCGAUCUUCAUAAUGGGCUGCCACAACGGGGCCAGCAUCGCGUUCCGCGCGGCGCUGGCGGCGGUGGACGAGGGCGUGGAGCUGCGGGGGUUGAUACUGAACCAGGCGCACCACAGCGGCGUGGAGAGGACGUCGGCGGAGGCGGCGUCGGUGGACGACCGCGUCCUGCCGCUGCCGGCGAACGACCUGCUCUGGGAGCUCGCGCUGCCGCUGGGCGCCGACCGGGACCACGAGUACUGCAACCCGGAGGCCAUGCUGGCCGGCGUCGGGGUGGAGCGGCUGCGGAGGCUGCCGCCGUGCCUGGUGCUCGGCCGUAAGAAGGACCCGCCGAGGGACCGGCAGAGGGUGCUGGUGCAUGCGCUGCGGAAGGCCGGGGUGGCCGUGGAGGCGCAGAUGGACGGCGCCGGGUACCACGCGAUGGAGCUGUUCAAGGAUAACUGCGCCGCGGAGUUCAAGGCGCAGGUGACGGACUUCGUCCGCCGCCACGCCGACGACGGCGUCGACGUAUACGCAGCGAGGAGCAGGCUGUGAUCGGUGGAUCCAAAAGCGGAGGUUGUUACAACGGCGCUGUCUCAUCUAGUACAAUUUUUAAACGACUAAUAUAUCAAUCAUAUCUUCUUCACCAUGCUAUGAUUGAUCGACUUGGACUGACGGGCUGAGGCUCGGAGUCUACUCCUACGCCGGCAAGUACAAUCAGUAGAGUGUCGAGCUACUGGAUUGCAGUAUUAUCCCCACUUUUUGAAUGGAUUUUUGUCACGUUUGUUUUUACCCUUUUUGCGUUAUUUAUUACUCCUUCCGUAAACUAAUAUAAAAGCAUUUAAAUUACUAUUUUAGUGACCUAAACGCUUUUAUAUUUGUUUACAGAGGGAGUAAUUUUUACCAACUACCGGCGGCAACUUGAGAUCGCCACGUGCUUGUUACAAUUAGAAAGUUCGUGGAGAAAAAACUCUUAUCUUAUUUUCAUGGCUACCUCACCCCUUCCCUUCUAGUAAACUGUAAGGCAUGCUGCUUCUUUCUUUUGCUGAAAAAAAAUAUAUAAGGCAUGCUUGACUUUACACGGUCUCUCAUACACGACUUUGAUCAUUAAUAUAUACCAAAUCACAUAUGGAUUAAACAUGUAUAAAUGGUAUCAUCAUAUUUGUUUUGCAAAUUAAUUUUGUUUCAUAUGCCUUCAUACCAAUUUGUAGACAUACAAAUGAGUGAAAAAUAUAGUCAAAAUUGAACGAUAAAGAUCAAAAAAGUCAACCUCAUUUGAUAUUUUGCGAAGGAGGGAGUAUUGUGUAGACCUGCUAGUAGAAUUUGAAGCACGCGUGCUUUGCUCACCGUUUCUCGGUUGCGAGUGUUUUUACGGGCUAUUACAAUUAGAGAUCAGCACUUUUACAUCUAAAAGUGAAGAGUCAAACUGAACUGAGUUGAUCGAUAUUUCGGAUUUAUUAGGUUAUGACGUUCGAUGGUGUCUUCAUCUCUAAUUGUUUUUUUCGGGUGUACCAUCACGCUUUUUAUCCUGCAUAAAUCGGAUUGACUAUUAGAUCAUAUACAUCAAAAUGAAUCUUGCUUGUCUCUAACUUUUCUACUUUGUUCGCAGGUGUAGGUAUGAUCCUAGACCCAUGUACGAUGCAUGUCUCACACAACCAAGUUCACUCAUGCCUCUCCUUCUCAGCAUCACUCUUCUUGCACUCGUUUUCUUCUAAAAAACAACUCCAAUCCCUUAACUUACUCGCCUCACAACCGUCAGUACUAGGGAGAACUCUAUAGGCAGCCACUUAAUAGUAGGUGGGGUAAGUGGGCCGCGCUACUGCUAUUCAGUAGUAGCGCGGGAUAAAAUACUACGCUACAGGUACAAAGUAGUAGUAGCGGGUACGCUAACACCGCGCUACUACUAAGUGGUCCCCACCAUGCCCCCGGGGCAGGCCAUAGUAGCAGCGCGGGGUAUAUAACCCGCGCUACAACUAACAAGAUAGCAGUAGCGCGAGCUAUAUACCCCGCACUACUACUGUGGAUACGCGGGGCCAUCUAGUGGGCUCCACUUAACAGCAGCGCGCCCUGUAGCUCCAUGCUACAGCUAAUGGGCUUAGCAGUAGCGCGGGCCCCGUGCCCCGCGCUACUACUUAGCGACCCAUAUCCUCUCCCUGUCGUUUGUUUCUCACUCCCUCCCCUCCCUCUUUCUCCCUCUCUCGUCGUUGCUCUGGCUCCUCCUCCCUCCCUCCUCCCCUUCCUCCACUCUGCAUGAGGAAUACUAUGUGCUAGUUUGAAAUUUCAUGAAGUGUCCACAGGGGAGAAACAUUUUGGUAUUUGUCAUCGAUUUUUAAUCUUUCAAUUAUGAACACAACAAAUGGAUGACGACGAUAGGAUCCCCGAGUGUGAUGAUUGUACCGACGAUGGGGGUAUCUGCAACAAUCCUCACUUGAAAAAUGAUAUGUGCUUCUCCCUCAUGUUUAAAGAUGGCUUUGAAUAUUAUAUAAUAGGUAACUUCAGCGGUACAUAUUUCUUUUUCUUCUUUAACAUGUAGUUUUUCCGCUUUUUAUAAUCCGACUAGUGCAUCCCCUGUUAUGCAAGACAUUAUGUACUAGAGAAGCUCUCUUUCGAUGACAUGGAUAAGCCAGAUAAGAGGAAUGCUUACCAUAAGACGAAACAUGGUUUCAUUUUUGCUAUGAUCUAUAAUCAAGCAAGUCACACAUAUUGUGAUUGUGCAAAUUGGAGAGAAUUAUGCAAGGUUUGCGGAUUUGAGGAGGGUAUGAGAAUAACCUUCGAUAUUGGCGUUCCUCAAUAUGAUCCAAUCACUGGUCCUCAACAUGAUAAAGACAUUUGGGUGGAUCUGGACAUAAUUCUAGUUCUAUCUCCAUCUUAUUUUCUAUCUUCAAGAAAUACACGGAAGAUAGUAGACGAGACCUAUUACACUACUGGCUCAGAGCUAACUUGAGAGGAGAAGAAUUAUCUUGUCUCCUUUGUUAAUGAUGUUCUGUCGUAAAAGCAUUUUUGGACCUGGCCGAACUACUAUAGGAUACGUGCCACUAGUGCACAAGUUGAGUGAUGCUAACAUUCAUAGAAAUAUCAUGCUCUCAAAUGUUGUUGUGCCUGCGCUGAUGGAUGUUGAAGGUCGGAUGAUAAUUAUUAGCCCUUUGAAGGUCAGCUUCAAAUAUAGAUACUCGACUGAAUGCCAACCAGAUGGAUGCCUCAAAAUUGAAGGAUGGAGACAAAUAGUGAAUGAGUGUAGGCCACAAUCGGAGACCGAUAGAUCUCUGUGCUCCAUCAUGGAGAUUGAGGGAUUUUUCUGUUUUAUUCUAUUAUCCCUAAGAGAGAGGAGUAGGUCCUAGUACUUGUCACGAUCUAGGGUAAUGACUACUAUGUGUCCGGAAGUUAUUUACCUAGAUGAUAACAAUUAGCUAGUGGUUAACUUAUGAUGAUGAUGAUGAUGAUGAUGAGACAUUGUUGUAUCAAUGAUGUAUGUAUACAUUGG
RNAcentral lists this ribosomal RNA (4076 nucleotides) under Triticum aestivum (bread wheat). Its description in RNAcentral is "partial small subunit ribosomal RNA". Lineage: Eukaryota; Viridiplantae; Streptophyta; Magnoliopsida; Poales; Poaceae. The record is from RNAcentral.